AUGAACCCUAACCCUAGUAGCUCCCCACGCCUCCGCCGUCUCCUUCGCCCAGCCCGCCUCCCUGCCCCGCCGCCGUCGAGGUCCAGCCCCCGCGGUCUUCCUCCUCGGCCUGCUCGUGGGUGCCGCGGUGCUCGUGGAGGCGCUGCAGAUCCCCGCCGACCGGGCAACGCUGGCGCUCGGGGCGCUGCGCUCGCCGCCGUGCUCCCCGGCGACGAUGACGAACCUGCAACGGACGGAGCUGGGCGCCUCCCCACGGUCUUCCUCCUCGGCCUGCUCGUGGGUGCCGCGGUGCUUGCGGAGGCACUGCAGAUCCCCGCCGACCAGGCAACGCUGGCGCUCGGGGCGCUCGCCGCCGUGCUCCCCGGCGACGACGACGACCCCGCAACGGACGGAGCUAGGCGCCUCCCCGCCCCCAUCUGUCUACUCCGUGCAGCUACGCCCAUCCUGGAGGCCGACAUGCCCUCUCCGUCCGAAAUCCCCUUGCCCUGGCCCUGCUCGCUACAUGGUGCUGAACAUUCAACCAAGGAGGGGUGGUGCCUCUUCUCCGGCCUGUGCAUACCAUCCCCAACGCCAACAUCAAAGAGGGAUGAUGUGAAGGGGGCGGCGGCCCGCUGGAACUGGAGGACCAGCACCGAGGGCCUGCCGCGCGGGAUCGUCGAGACGAGCUCCGACAUGUUCCUCCGCCCGCUCUGGGACUCUACCGCCAAGCACACCAACACCAAGGGCAGGGCAGACAACAUGUGCCGUCAACCGUUGAGAGUUCAGCUGUCACCAAAUGAGCAGCUUGCUGUUGAAGAAACCUUCAAGUUGUACUUGAUGUUUCAAUCUUAUAAUUGCAGGUGUAUUCACCUCAUCAUACCAUCGGUUCUAAUCAAGGCCACAGUCACUACCCGGAAGGAGAUGUCGGGGUUGUUAUUGACUGGGAGGAGGCAAGGAGCAGGAGGCAGCAUGGGAGGCAGCAGGAGAGCUUGUAGAUGGUGCCUCGCCAGUUGGACGGCGUUCAGGCGCAACCCCGACACGCACUGA
This 1026-nucleotide ribosomal RNA is filed under the name Triticum aestivum (bread wheat). RNAcentral describes it as "partial small subunit ribosomal RNA". Lineage: Eukaryota; Viridiplantae; Streptophyta; Magnoliopsida; Poales; Poaceae. The record is from RNAcentral.